AACGAACGCUGGCGGCAGGCUUAACACAUGCAAGUCGAACGCCCCGCAAGGGGAGUGGCAGACGGGUGAGUAACGCGUGGGAACAUACCCUUUCCUGCGGAAUAGCUCCGGGAAACUGGAAUUAAUACCGCAUACGCCCUACGGGGGAAAGAUUUAUCGGGGAAGGAUUGGCCCGCGUUGGAUUAGCUAGUUGGUGGGGUAAAGGCCUACCAAGGCGACGAUCCAUAGCUGGUCUGAGAGGAUGAUCAGCCACAUUGGGACUGAGACACGGCCCAAACUCCUACGGGAGGCAGCAGUGGGGAAUAUUGGACAAUGGGCGCAAGCCUGAUCCAGCCAUGCCGCGUGAGUGAUGAAGGCCUUAGGGUUGUAAAGCUCUUUCACCGGAGAAGAUAAUGACGGUAUCCGGAGAAGAAGCCCCGGCUAACUUCGUGCCAGCCGCCGCCGUAACAC
RNAcentral lists this ribosomal RNA (450 nucleotides) under uncultured bacterium. RNAcentral's name for it is "bacterial SSU rRNA". It matches the Rfam family "Bacterial small subunit ribosomal RNA", at positions 29 to 526 of the family's 1533-position model. The record is from RNAcentral.